This 255-nucleotide ribosomal RNA is filed under the name uncultured bacterium. RNAcentral describes it as "partial 16S ribosomal RNA". It matches the Rfam family "Bacterial small subunit ribosomal RNA", at positions 524 to 776 of the family's 1533-position model. The record is from RNAcentral.
GACGAGAGGUGCCGAGCGUUAGGCGGAAUCACUGGGCUUAAAGCGUGUGUAGGCGGGCGGGCAAGUACCUUGUGAAAUCCCACGGCUCAACCGUGGAACGGCUGGGUAUACUGGCCUGUCUUGAGCCAACUAGGGGCGAGCGGAACAGACGGUGGAGCGGUGAAAUGCGUAGAUAUCGUCUGGAACGCCGAAGGUGAAAACAGCUCGCUGGGGCUGUGCUGACGCUGAGACACGAAAGCCAGGGGAGCGAACGGG